GACGUAGGGCGCGAGCGUUGUCCGGAUUUAUUGGGCGUAAAGAGCUCGUAGGCGGUUUGUUGCGUCGGCUGUGAAAUCCCGAGGCUCAACCUCGGGUCUGCAGUCGAUACGAGCAAACUAGAGUGUUGCAGGGGAGACUGGAAUUCCUGGUGUAGCGGUGAAAUGCGCAGAUAUCAGGAGGAACACCGGUGGCGAAGGCGGGUCUCUGGGCCGAUACUGACGCUGAGACGCGAAAGCGUGGGGAGCAAACAGG
RNAcentral lists this ribosomal RNA (253 nucleotides) under uncultured bacterium. RNAcentral's name for it is "partial 16S ribosomal RNA". It matches the Rfam family "Bacterial small subunit ribosomal RNA", at positions 524 to 776 of the family's 1533-position model. The record is from RNAcentral.